RNAcentral lists this ribosomal RNA (711 nucleotides) under Streptomyces olivaceus. RNAcentral describes it as "bacterial SSU rRNA". It matches the Rfam family "Bacterial small subunit ribosomal RNA", at positions 56 to 783 of the family's 1533-position model. The record is from RNAcentral. RNAcentral also lists the same sequence under 1 other name. Lineage: Bacteria; Bacillati; Actinomycetota; Actinomycetes; Kitasatosporales; Streptomycetaceae.
UGCAGUCGAACGAUGAACCACUUCGGUGGGGAUUAGUGGCGAACGGGUGAGUAACACGUGGGCAAUCUGCCCUGCACUCUGGGACAAGCCCUGGAAACGGGGUCUAAUACCGGAUAUUGACCUUCACGGGCAUCUGUGAGGUUCGAAAGCUCCGGCGGUGCAGGAUGAGCCCGCGGCCUAUCAGCUUGUUGGUGAGGUAAUGGCUCACCAAGGCGACGACGGGUAGCCGGCCUGAGAGGGCGACCGGCCACACUGGGACUGAGACACGGCCCAGACUCCUACGGGAGGCAGCAGUGGGGAAUAUUGCACAAUGGGCGAAAGCCUGAUGCAGCGACGCCGCGUGAGGGAUGACGGCCUUCGGGUUGUAAACCUCUUUCAGCAGGGAAGAAGCGAAAGUGACGGUACCUGCAGAAGAAGCGCCGGCUAACUACGUGCCAGCAGCCGCGGUAAUACGUAGGGCGCAAGCGUUGUCCGGAAUUAUUGGGCGUAAAGAGCUCGUAGGCGGCUUGUCACGUCGGUUGUGAAAGCCCGGGGCUUAACCCCGGGUCUGCAGUCGAUACGGGCAGGCUAGAGUUCGGUAGGGGAGAUCGGAAUUCCUGGUGUAGCGGUGAAAUGCGCAGAUAUCAGGAGGAACACCGGUGGCGAAGGCGGAUCUCUGGGCCGAUACUGACGCUGAGGAGCGAAAGCGUGGGGGAGCGAACAGGAUUAGAU